UAGAAUCAUUUUUACCAUAACCCUAACCCUAUUUCAUCUAACCAAAUCGACGCCCCCACCCCUUCCCAUCUCUGCCCGCCUCAAACUCGUCGGAAUUCGCCCCAAACCUGGCGAGUUCACCCAUUGGUCCCCCCUUCUCGUCUUCUCCUUCUUCCAUGUCAUUCAAAUCGAACCAAAUCUCAUCAUUUCAAUCUGAUUCGCGCGGAUUGUUUUCUUCUAUUUCUUUUGUUUAAACACAAAAUCCGAACCCUUGAGUAAAUUUGGGAAGAAUGGGAAUCAUUGGAUGAAAUUCUUGUCCAAAAAUAUCUAUUUUUCUGAUUUUUAUUUAAGAAAAGGAUUUUUGGAUUUGAUUUUUGGGAUCACAUGGUUUUGGGCGUUACUUGGAGAAGAGGAGAAUAAGGUUUAAUAUAUAUUUGGAGCAUUUGGAUAGAUUUUGGGAGAGGAUUUUUGGAUAGAAAAACGGAAAAAGUUUGGGAAGGAGACUAGGGUUUAGGAGCUCUUCUUCUUGUUCUCAUAUUUCCAGAAAAAAAAUCAUAAAAAGGGUUCUGUUUUCAUCUUUUGUGGCCAUUUUUAGAAACAUUUUUGAAGAGAAGUCAGGGAAAAACUAGGGUUUAAUUUUGAACUUGAGAGACCUUCUUUUGGUUUUUUUGUUGUUUCUUUUAGAUAGAGGUGGGGGGGACGGUUUUUUUUUUCUUGAAAACUUUUUGGAGAGAAGUUAGGAAAAACUAGGGUUUAAUUUUGAAAAAACUACGGUUUUUUUUGAAAACUAUUGUUGCUCAAUGCUCGAGUUCUUGCCAUGACUGCUAUUCCAUCUUUGUUCGUGUAAUGGCUGCAAUUCAUUGUUAAUUGAAAGCAAUUUCAGGUUUACCUUUCUCCCUUUAUCACUUAUUUUCUGUUAAUUUUCAGCAUGAUGAGGGUCGGGGUUUGAUCGACUUAUUGAUUGUUUGAUUCGUCAUUAUUUUUAGAGGUUAACAAAUGAAACUCAGAUUGUUUUGCGACUGUUAAUGAGAGUACGUGAUCUUUAUAUCGUUGCUUCACAUUUUCUUGAAUAUUUCUGCUUUGUUUGGCUGAGUUUACAUGUUGAAAUGAGUUUCUGAAACUAUUCUUUGAUGAUUCUCUGUGUGUUAUUGGCUUGGUUAGUUUCGCUUAGUUUCUAAAAAUUAUAUGAUCCUUGAAUCUUAAUCGAGUCAAUCCCCGUAGUUUGUGCUAGCUUAGUUCAUCAUAUUAUCAUGACUUCUCUGAUGUCCCAAUUUGGUUUGAACCUGUAUAACCUCCUGCCCUAUUUUUCCUCCAUUAUUGACUGAUGAUUUCACAUGAUUACCUUGUUUUCUUGACUUAAACCUAUCGACGUCCUUAGUCGACCUUUUGAUAAGUUUGGUUCUGUUUUCUGUUUUCUCGAGUUAGCAUCCAAGUUGUGAAUGUAGAGAACAAGCAGCGUUUAAAUUCUUGUGUUAAAAGGCUCGUAGAAGAUUGUCAUUGGCAUUUCAGUUUCAAGUAAGAUGUUAGUUGCUUAGAUAGGAGUUCUAUAUGUUUAAAUGACUAAUUUUCAAAUCCAAAAAUCAGUUAAUGAUUCUUGUUUGAGUUCGAAGAUAAAAUGAAAGUAUGAUGAAGUGUAACCUUUGGUUCGCAACCUAACUCGAGUUGAUUUUGCCUCCAACAUGGUAGUCUUCACUGUUUCUAGUUUGAUAGUUAUUUUAAAAGGUUAGUUUGUCAUUCAAAUUCCUAUGUUAGUCAAGUUUGAUCGCAUUCUCAAUAGUCUCGUUGUUGACCUUGUUAUUAGCUGUAACUGAUGUAAUUGAAACUUAUAGCUUAAGCGUGUCCAGGCAUUAGUGAAUUCGAGUGUUCUGUUGGAUGUCCCCAUUCCACUGUCAUAAAG
This 1876-nucleotide long non-coding RNA is filed under the name Nicotiana benthamiana. RNAcentral describes it as "long non-coding RNA (NBEN_LNC039069)". Lineage: Eukaryota; Viridiplantae; Streptophyta; Magnoliopsida; Solanales; Solanaceae. The record is from RNAcentral.